Molecule: ribosomal RNA, 200 nt
Filed under: uncultured bacterium
Lineage: Bacteria
Description: partial 16S ribosomal RNA
Rfam family: Bacterial small subunit ribosomal RNA
Source: RNAcentral
GGCUGAAAUUACGCCUUCCAUGAAGCUGGAAUUGCUAGUAAUGGCAGGUCAGCAUACUGCCGUGAAUACGUUCCCGGGCCUUGUACACACCGCCCGUCACACCAUGAGAGUUGGAAAUACCCGAAGCCUGUGAGCUAACUGUAAAGAGGCAGCAGUCGAAGGUAGAGCCAAUGAUUGGGGUGAAGUCGUAACAAGGUAAC